RNAcentral lists this ribosomal RNA (465 nucleotides) under uncultured bacterium. RNAcentral describes it as "partial 16S ribosomal RNA". It matches the Rfam family "Bacterial small subunit ribosomal RNA", at positions 28 to 507 of the family's 1533-position model. The record is from RNAcentral.
GACGAACGCUGGCGGCGUGCUUAACACAUGCAAGUCGAACGGAAAGGCCCUGCUUGCAGGGUACUCGAGUGGCGAACGGGUGAGUAACACGUGGGUGAUCUGCCCUGCACUUCGGGAUAAGCCUGGGAAACUGGGUCUAAUACCGGAUAGGAGCCAUUUUUAGUGUGAUGGUUGGAAAGUUUUUUCGGUGUAGGAUGAGCUCGCGGGCUAUCAGCGUGUUGGUGGGGUAAUGGCCUACCAAGGCGGCGACGGGUAGCCGGCCUGAGAGGGUGGACGGCCACAUUGGGACUGAGGUACGGCCCAGACUCCUACGGGAGGCAGCAGUGGGGAAUAUUGCACAAUGGGCGCAAGCCUGAUGCAGCGACGCCGCGUGGGGGAUGACGGCCUUCGGGUUGUAAAAUCCUUUCGCUAGGGACGAAGCUUUUUGUGACGGUACCUAGAUAAGAAGCACCGGCUAACUACGUG